GGCCUUCUCGUCGCGGCUGGGGGGCUCCCGGGGCGCGCCGGGGCUGCUCAUGGCUGUCGGGCAGGACCUUUACUGUUACUCCUACAGCUAAUUCUGCAGGGCACAGCCCAGAGCCAUGUGGAUUUGACUUACGGGAGUAAAGCGUAACUUUUUACUGCAUCUAAUGAGGGCGUUUUAAGUGACACUCAGUGUACACAGAUCCCAUCCUCUGGCUGCUAGGAGAGAAGUGCUGAAUGUUCCAUGUGGAGACGCUCAGGAAAGUUAUUUGAGUUAAAUUGCUGGCUCAGAGAGCUUGGAAGUCCUUUUCAUAAAAGGACUGAAGAUUGGCAAAAACGAAAAGCUUCUUCCUCCAAGAGCCCAUUGGAGAAGCCCAGUGAUGAGACGGUGAGAUGGUUUGAGUCCUCGGUGCCUGGGUAGCAGGAAGAAAGACCUGCAUCCUGCAUCUGUACUUGGGGAAGCCAGCGGAGAGGACGGGGAGGUUACUUCUCUAAGUUUCUGCAGAAAUAUUGAAGGCUGGAGUUUGGAAUCCUUAAACUUGGCCUUCUCAAACUCAGCAGCAGAUCUCCGGGAUUCUCCUGU
RNAcentral lists this small RNA (579 nucleotides) under Pan troglodytes (chimpanzee). RNAcentral describes it as "processed transcript". Lineage: Eukaryota; Metazoa; Chordata; Mammalia; Primates; Hominidae. The record is from RNAcentral.